GANUGAAGAGGGAAAAGCUCAAAUUUAAAAUCUGGCGGUCUCCGGCCGUCCGAGUUGUAGUUUAGAGAGGUGUUUUCUGCGUCGGACCACACACAAGUCCUUUGGGAUAAGGCUUCAUAGAGGGUGAGAAUCCCGUACAUGGUGUGGACUACCGGGGCUAUGUGAUGCACCCUCAAAGAGUCGAGUUGUUUGGGAAUGCAUCUCAAAAUGGGUGGUAAAUUCCAUCUAAAGCUAAAUAUUGGGGAGAGACCGAUAGCGCACAAGUACCGUGAGGGAAAGGUGAAAAGCACUUUGGAAAGAGAGUUAAACAGUACGUGAAAUUGCUGAAAGGGAAACGCUUGAAGUCAGUCGCGUCUGCCUGGACUCAGCCGUGGUUCUCCUCGGUGUACUUCCAGGUGGAUGGGCCAACAUCCAUUUUGUUCGCCGUACAAAGGCGUGAGGAAUGCGGCACUCUUCGGGGUGUGUUAUAGCCUCGCKUCGUAUGCGGUGGAUGGGAUCGAGGAACGCAGCGUGCCGCAAGGCUGGGAUUCGUYCACACACACAAUU
Molecule: ribosomal RNA, 546 nt
Filed under: Myxarium granulum
Lineage: Eukaryota; Fungi; Basidiomycota; Agaricomycetes; Auriculariales; Hyaloriaceae
Description: eukaryotic LSU rRNA
Rfam family: Eukaryotic large subunit ribosomal RNA
Source: RNAcentral